This 119-nucleotide ribosomal RNA is filed under the name Lepisosteus oculatus (spotted gar). The record is from RNAcentral. Lineage: Eukaryota; Metazoa; Chordata; Actinopteri; Semionotiformes; Lepisosteidae.
ACCAGCAACCAUGUCACCUUGCAACUCACAACGCACAGCUUACUGAAGCUCAGCAGGCCUGAGCCUGGUCAGUACCUGGAUGGAAGACCUCCUGGGAAAAACGAAGGUUGCUGCUGGAA